Molecule: unclassified non-coding RNA, 147 nt
Filed under: uncultured Heteroconium
Lineage: Eukaryota; Fungi; Ascomycota; Eurotiomycetes; Chaetothyriales; Herpotrichiellaceae
Description: sequence contains ITS2
Source: RNAcentral
CACCAAUCAAGCCUCGCUUGGUGUUGGGCGAUGCGCACGUCGCACGCCUCAAAUGCCCCGGCCGAGCAGUCUCUCACCCGGCGUCGUGGAAACAUACCGCUACGGAGACGAGACCUGCCCGUGCCGCAGAAUAACCUAUUUUCUUAA